CGGGUGAGUAACGCGUGGAAAACCUGCCGUAUGCUGGGGGAUAACACUUAGAAAUAGGUGCUAAUACCGCAUAAGCGCACAGCUUCGCAUGAAGCGGUGUGAAAAACUCUGGUGGUAUACGAUGGUUCCGCGUCUGAUUAGCUAGUUGGUGGGGUAAUGGCCUACCAAGGCAACGAUCAGUAGCCGGCCUGAGAGGGUGAGCGGCCACAUUGGGACUGAGACACGGCCCAAACUCCUACGGGAGGCAGCAG
RNAcentral lists this ribosomal RNA (251 nucleotides) under uncultured bacterium. RNAcentral describes it as "partial 16S ribosomal RNA". It matches the Rfam family "Bacterial small subunit ribosomal RNA", at positions 103 to 354 of the family's 1533-position model. The record is from RNAcentral.